UGCCUAUACUUUAAAAAGU
Molecule: small nuclear RNA, 19 nt
Filed under: Arabidopsis thaliana (thale cress)
Lineage: Eukaryota; Viridiplantae; Streptophyta; Magnoliopsida; Brassicales; Brassicaceae
Description: snRNA_14248
Source: RNAcentral